Long non-coding RNA from Zonotrichia leucophrys gambelii, 406 nucleotides. RefSeq lists it as uncharacterized. The transcript has 2 exons. Lineage: Eukaryota; Metazoa; Chordata; Aves; Passeriformes; Passerellidae. The record is from RefSeq and is a predicted model, not a curated record.
GGAGCCCUGACUGAAAAGCAACAACAACACUGCUGUGAAGAGCUGUGUGUGAGAAGAAAUGCAAGUGCCCGUGGGGUUUCUUUCCGCUUCGUUGUAAGAAACUGGUGCAGCUUUACAUUGCUAAUCAGACGCCGCUCCUUUGACCUCCCCUCCCUCACUCCUGAGACUGUGGAAACUGUUGGAGGAGAUGUGUGACUGCCAAUGCCAUGUGGUCUCCACCAUCUUGAGCAUGUGAAUGCAACCACACACGCAGCUGUGGCCAUGCAGUGACAGCAAACCUGGGCAUCAGGAGUAAAGAUGGAAGAGCUUGGAGAAGGGGUUCUCAGUUGGGGUUCGCUAUUUUUUAACUGUUCCUCAAGAUUCUGAAUGCAUAUCAUCAUCAUAUUAAAAAAAGGAUAGAAUACUU